This 307-nucleotide ribosomal RNA is filed under the name uncultured bacterium. RNAcentral's name for it is "bacterial SSU rRNA". It matches the Rfam family "Bacterial small subunit ribosomal RNA", at positions 30 to 337 of the family's 1533-position model. The record is from RNAcentral.
AUUGAACGCUGGCGGCAUGCUUUACACAUGCAAGUCGAGCGGACAGCGCGGGGGCAACCCUGGCGGCGAGCGGCGAACGGGUGAGUAAUAGAUAGGAACGUGUCCGGGAGUGGGGGAUAACUAGCCGAAAGGUUAGCUAAUACCGCAUAUUCUGUGCGCAGGAAAGCGGGGACUGAGAGGGCCUCGCGCUUCUGGAGUGGCCUAUCUCCGAUUAGCUAGUUGGUGAGGUAAAGGCUUACCAAGCGACGAUCGGUAGCUGGUCUGAGAGGAUGAUCAGCCACACUGGGACUGAGACACGGCCCAGACU